Lactuca sativa (garden lettuce) is the source of this 825-nucleotide non-coding RNA. NCBI's taxonomy places the organism in Eukaryota, Viridiplantae, Streptophyta, Magnoliopsida, Asterales, Asteraceae. The record is from RefSeq and is a predicted model, not a curated record.
AUUUCUUUUUUUAUUUGCACGUGAGGGUGUGAGGUGGCGUUCAAAGGUUGUCAAGGGGUUGUGAGGAGCUAUAGGGCUCAAGUUCGAGGUUGAAGAUUAGAAACCGAAGGUUGAAGAUCAGAUUUGGGAUUAGAUGAGUCGCUGGUACAACUGACGUCGUCGUGGUGUAGGUCAGAUGAGUCGCCGGAGUCCAGGCCAAGUAACAGUGUCGCUGGAGUUUCGGGAAGCUAACGAUGUCAUCAAUUCGAGUGCAGGUGAUGUGCCGAUUAUUGAUUUUGGAUCAAUUACUAACUGUUUGCCAUUUUCUUUCUAGAAAAUCAAUGUAGUGUCUGCUUCUUAAUCUUGUUCUCUAUGAGUACCAUUGUUACCGUCUCUGGUAAAAACAUCUAACCAUAUGCCAGAUUCGUUGAUUCAGGCUACAAAAGUACCUGUUAAAGAGUAUGAGUUUGAUGAAAAGAAGAUGGCAAAUGUGCAGUCUCAUCUGGAAAAAUUGGUUGCCAAUAACUAUUACUUGAACAGGUCUCCAAAAGAUGCGUACAGAUAAAUAUAUUAUUCAUGAAGUGAAGGCAAGAAUAGUUGAAUGGUAUAUGAUUAUGAACAGGGGCAAAUGCGUAAAACAAAUUAUGAUUCUUUUUAUUAUGGAUGGUGCACAGGACAAGGGCAGGCUGGUCAAGACUGGAAGCUUUACACAUUCAUAUCCAUUUUGUUGAAGAUCUGAUACCCCUCUUAUCUACAGAGCAGUUCCCAUGAUGAGCAGUUGCUUGAAGCAGCUUGGUGUCUUACAAACAUAGCUGCUGGAAAACCUAAAGAAACAAGAGCUUAAUU